Molecule: transfer RNA, 73 nt
Filed under: Marmota monax (woodchuck)
Lineage: Eukaryota; Metazoa; Chordata; Mammalia; Rodentia; Sciuridae
Description: tRNA.Ala
Source: RNAcentral
UGGGGUGUGGCUCAGGGAUAGAGUGCUUGCCUAGCAUGCACUGACGCUCUGGGUUGAAUUCCCAGCACCAAAA